GCGCCAUUGAGACUUUAAAAUGACGUAGCAAACGCAGCAAUAGUUUCUUCAAUGGCGGUGCCGACAGGCUGCUUGUUCGCUGUUUUCUGCAAUAUACUAACAGCCAGGUACACAUUGCUGAAGGACAACCUCUUCUUGAAUAAACUUGAUGAACAUCUCAGCUCAUCUUCCAGAACAUCUUUUCUGGCAUGAUUUCAGAGCUGAUAACAUGUUUACGGUUGCUGCUGAUCCCUGCAGGGGGGUGGAUUGGUCAUCAGGAAUACUGAGAGUUUUUCUGGUGGGCCAACUAGAAUUGAGGUGUUAGAUGCCUAUUCAUCUAUUGCUGUGCCUUACAAUGUGAUGCCAUAUUAGGUGGAAAAUGAUAUGGGUCAGACACUAGGACCAAGCAGAAAACGGCCACUCAUGUUGAAGCCAGUUUCCCUUUAAACUGCCCACAAGCUCAUCAAUUGUCUGUACCUUUUUUUUCUCUAAUGUGUGAUUGGCCAUCCCUACGGUCACUCCAUGAGCACCUGCACAUGGAGCACCUUAUUUCCAUUAACAUUUGAAUCUGCGUUUUUGUGUGCAUAUGUGGGUAUGUUUUUGGUGGGGAAAAUCGAGGUUGCACUGCAAAUGGUUGAAUGCUUGCUUAACUGUCUGUCUUUUCUUGACAUAAUACAGAACAAAGAUGGUGUGGUGUGUUACAACUACAUCUUCUUAUUUAAAGCAGUCUUUUCCAACCAGGGGUACAUGCUCCUCUAAUGGUACAUGAAAAUUGUUGAUACGUGGAAACAUUUAAUUUCCAAGAUUAUAAGUAAAUAUUCUCAGUCAUUUCAUAUUAAGCCAGACAAUAAAAUGGAACGUGUGUGCAACAACUAGUUUCCCCAGAGAGACAAUAACCUGUGGCACAGCUGCACCAAAAUCACAACAGCUGUGUUACAUUCUACCUUUGGAGAAUUAUCGACACGUAUAAGUGACGGGGUAGUCAUGAUAUGACCAAGCUCUGGGGGGUACACAAGACAAAAAAGGUUGGGAAACACUGAUCUGAAGUAUUGGAAAACAAUAAUCGUACGCUAGUUAUCCAUUGAGUUGCUUGUAUUAAGCACUUACAUAAGUGACACUUUCAUCAAAGGAUGCCUCAUGGCACAUCUCCAAGUCGUACAAGUCACAUGUUGCAAUGUGGUGUGUUUUGAGCAUUUAGAUAUGCUAUUUUCACACUUUGUAAUCAUUUCUACCUGUAAUGACGCAUUCCCAAUCGUGUCACCUGCAGCGUUCAAGUGUUUAAAGUGUCAACAUGCACCUUUUUUAGUACCCGCAGACCAAUCUGCUUCAUGAAGGACAUUUUUUUUGUUGUCCUUUCGACAGUUUUACAUGAUGCAGUUACAAUGAAUAAAACACUACUUUUGCAAUACAACAUCAUUAUGCAGAUGCAUUGUCAAUACAUUAUGUAGAGCUUUACGAUCUGUUCUAAAAUAAAACUAUUUGUCCAUUUUUUUUAGAUGGUUAAAUUAUUGUUUUCCAUACUUUAGCACCAACUAGUCAAAGCUGUGAUUGCAUGCAGACUUUUUUUUUUUUUUUUUUUUUUUAAUAAUAUAAUCAUGUUCAAACCUAUUACACACUA
Molecule: long non-coding RNA, 1597 nt
Organism: Dunckerocampus dactyliophorus (ringed pipefish)
Lineage: Eukaryota; Metazoa; Chordata; Actinopteri; Syngnathiformes; Syngnathidae
Exons: 3
Source: RefSeq, a predicted model, not a curated record